This 778-nucleotide long non-coding RNA is filed under the name Homo sapiens (human). Its description in RNAcentral is "HSALNT0086968". The record is from RNAcentral. Lineage: Eukaryota; Metazoa; Chordata; Mammalia; Primates; Hominidae.
GAAAUUCAACAUAUGAAACAGAAGUAAAGCAGAGCUUCUCUGGCUGAAGGAGGAGGAUUAAAGGUAUCAAGAGGAAGGGUUGAGGGCCACCUGCCAGCCCCUACUCAUUGGUCCUUAGUGGCUCAGCACUGCCUACUGCCUAGGGGAACAAAGGGCAUGGUGGGGCUCUGUACUCAUUGCUCUUCAUCCCACUGCUGUGUGCUAUUGUCUUUGUGAUCUUCAUGAUUGGAUUUUGCUUCUUCAAGGAAGAUAUAAAAGAGCCCAAGUAAUUCUGGAAACCAGCAUUUUACCCUUGACCUCCUGCUUUUCAUCCUACUGGUCCUCGCCAGAAGUCGCUGGUUGCCUGGUAUAAGAAAACAAUCAUAAUUAUCUCAUUAAUACUUGGACCUGGCCUCCCUGCUAAUCAGGUUUGUACUGCUGAGAUUUCAAAGGAGAACAGAAAUCUACUAAGAAGAAAUAAAUUGGUUCUCAGGCUAUAAAUAGUUCUAGGAAGCUGCCCAGGGACAAAAAUUUGCCUGCUGGUGAAAUAAAAGACCAUGUAAACUGUAGAUUUAUUUGGAGAGUAUAGUUCCAUGAAUUUAACUGGUCUAGACUCUGGGCCUCUGGAAGGCAGAGACCAUGCUCUCAGCCUUGCCUUUAGUACCUUGUCUGUAACAGGCUAUCAGAUAUGUUGAUUGUGUCAAAGAUAAGCAAAUUCUGAAAUGAGUAAUUUUUUUCAUUCUCUAUCCUCUCUGAAUUCACUUAGUGCCUCUCAGAAUGUGUCUGAGUGGAAAGGGAU